RNAcentral lists this ribosomal RNA (253 nucleotides) under uncultured bacterium. RNAcentral describes it as "partial 16S ribosomal RNA". It matches the Rfam family "Bacterial small subunit ribosomal RNA", at positions 524 to 776 of the family's 1533-position model. The record is from RNAcentral.
UACGUAGGGUGCAAGCGUUGUCCGGAAUUAUUGGGCGUAAAGAGCUCGUAGGCGGUCUGUCGCGUCUGCUGUGAAAACUCAGGGCUUAACCCUGAGCUUGCAGUGGGUACGGGCAGACUAGAGUGCGGUAGGGGAGACUGUAAUUCCUGGUGUAGCGGUGAAAUGCGCAGAUAUCAGGAGGAACACCGGUGGCGAAGGCGGGUCUCUGGGCCGUAACUGACGCUGAGGAGCGAAAGCAUGGGGAGCGAACAGG